CGCGUAGGCGGCCGUUCAAGUCGGACGUGAAAUCCCCCGGCUCAACUGGGGAACUGCGUCCGAUACUGUUCGGCUCGAGUCCUGGAGAGGGUAGUGGAAUUCCCAGUGUAGCGGUGAAAUGCGUAGAUACUGGGAGGAACAUCGGUGGCGAAGGCGGCUACCUGGACAGGUACUGACGCUGAGGCGCGAAAGCUAGGGGAGCAAAACA
RNAcentral lists this ribosomal RNA (208 nucleotides) under uncultured bacterium. RNAcentral's name for it is "partial 16S ribosomal RNA". It matches the Rfam family "Bacterial small subunit ribosomal RNA", at positions 568 to 775 of the family's 1533-position model. The record is from RNAcentral.